GGAAGAGGAGAUUUGAGAGGUCUUUAAGGAGAAGGAGGCUUGGAGAGGAAGAAUCUUUGAGUGGGAGGGAGUUUAAAGGUGUUAGGAGAAUUUAAAGGGUCGUUGUGACCCUUUGUUUGGCGCGUUUCGCGCCCAGGUAUCGCACCUGCGAUAUGAUACAUGGAGCGUGUAUCACUACACAGGUUCCGAUCUUUAGACCCGUGUAACCUUCUGUCCAGAAUUUUCCUUUUCUGCCAAGUUACAUGGCCCGUGUACUUUUGUUUAGGAACUUCCUGCCCCAAAGUUGCUUUGCUAGCUAAGUUACACGGUUCGUGUAAAUGUGAUUUGGG
Molecule: unclassified non-coding RNA, 329 nt
Filed under: Hevea brasiliensis (rubber tree)
Lineage: Eukaryota; Viridiplantae; Streptophyta; Magnoliopsida; Malpighiales; Euphorbiaceae
Source: RNAcentral